This 438-nucleotide ribosomal RNA is filed under the name uncultured bacterium. Its description in RNAcentral is "bacterial SSU rRNA". It matches the Rfam family "Bacterial small subunit ribosomal RNA", at positions 103 to 520 of the family's 1533-position model. The record is from RNAcentral.
AGGGUGCGUAACACGUAGUCUCACCUACCUCAUGAUGGGGGAUAGCUCAGGCGAAAGCCGGAUUAAUACCUGCAUGUGACCUGCAAGGGUCAAAGCUGGGGAUCAGUUAAGACCUGGUCGACAUAGAGUAUGGGGCUGCGGCCUAUCAGCUAGAUUUGGCGGGGAUAAUGGCCCUACCAAGGCUUGGACGGGUAGCUGGUCUGAGAGUGACGACCAGCCACACCGGGAACUGAGACACGGUCCAGACACCAAACGGGUGGCAGCAGUCGAGGAUUUUUCUCAAUGGGGGAAACCCUGAAGGAGCGACGCCGCGUGGGGGAUGAAGGUCUUCGGAUUGUAAACCCCUGUCAUCUGGGAACAAUGUGAUCUACCUAACACGUGGAUUAUUGAUAGUACCGGAAGAGGAAGCCGUGGCUAACUCUGUGCCAGCCGCCGCGG